RNAcentral lists this non-coding RNA (31 nucleotides) under Mus musculus (house mouse). Lineage: Eukaryota; Metazoa; Chordata; Mammalia; Rodentia; Muridae. The record is from RNAcentral. RNAcentral also lists the same sequence under 1 other name.
UAAGAUAAAUUCUUAGGAUAAAUUCUUCAUC